GCAAAAGAACAAAAAAAAGCCAAAGAAAACAAAAAAAAAGGUCUCAAGCGACUUUAAAAUGAUUAAUCAUAUUACUUUUCGUAUUUUUUAUAUUUUUAAUAUUCUACG
This 108-nucleotide non-coding RNA is filed under the name Aureoumbra lagunensis. The record is from RNAcentral. Lineage: Eukaryota; Pelagophyceae; Sarcinochrysidales; Sarcinochrysidaceae.